Molecule: long non-coding RNA, 1738 nt
Organism: Argentina anserina (silverweed cinquefoil)
Lineage: Eukaryota; Viridiplantae; Streptophyta; Magnoliopsida; Rosales; Rosaceae
Exons: 2
Source: RefSeq, a predicted model, not a curated record
UCCACCGCCAAAAGCCUCCAACUCGAAUUCCCUCCCUCUUCUCUCACGGCCGAGUGCAAUCGGCUCCGUCGCUGCGUCUCAGUUUAGGAGAGGUUGUUUUCCUUUAUGUUUGCUUUUUGUUUCCAUUCCACACACUGAUUUGCCUCAGGUCUCUGAGUUCGUCGCCAGAGUUCUUGAUGUUCGGGGGUUUGUCUGCUGCUCCCAUCUCCUUGCUCCAGAUCUGCAUUUGGCCUGUGUAGUUCUAUCGAUAACCUUUUGGCAAGGCUGUGUGUGGUUUUUCCUAUGGUUUGUCGUAUAAAGUGGGCGUUCGGAUUCAAGUCCGGUAACUCAACUCGAAGGCGACUGAUUCUCGCCCUUCGUGGGCCUUUUAUGCCCUCGUGGCUUUAUCUCAUGCGCUUCUUUUGUUGGAAGUGGUGGGCGCUCCUGGUACUUCAAUGGCUUCGGGGCCUAUCACUCUUUUUCCAGUGGAGGUUGCAGCUUCUCCCACCAUGCGUGGAUGAACUAGUUUUGGGUUUGGACUAUCCGAGGUUCUGGUAAAGGGCCUUGAUUGUCGAAAAUCCCGUGUUCGGGUUCAAGCUGCAAGGCUGGUUACAAUCAUGUUCUUCUCUUUUCAUUUCCUGUUGUAUUCAUGUUUUUUCUUAUUCUGUUGUUUUCUUUACUUUGUUGUGUCUUUACAUAUUUCCUUGCUGAAAUCUGAUGGAUUGUUCAUUCCUGUUGGAUAUAAUCUCAAACUCGUUGUACUUCCUUUUUUAGUGAAUGAAGUAAUCUUUAAUAAAUAAAUAAAUAAAGAAGAAAAGCAUGUUAAUUAUUUUUAAACAGAGCAAAAUACAGUUGGGUUAGAUUGGCCAACCUCCUUCCAUUUUAAACAAAAUUCAUGGAUCCUCCGCACGGUUACAGACCUCUGAUGCCGUGGUUACUCCACCAUCCCCACCACCACCCCUUAAUAAUCCACCCUCACCGCCACCACCACCACCACGUUCGACCCAAUUUCACAUCCUUCCCUCAAAACUGACAACAAGCUAUUCCCAUUCCUUUCCCAAACCAAUCAAAUCCCCAAACCAAUUUCACAUCCGAUUACAAUCCUAACCCACAGUAAGUAGCUUCAAACUUCUGAUAAAGACGAAUGGUUUGUUUCAAGCAGGAUAUUUCAGGCGCAGAAUCAUGAAGAUGUUGCGUUAGAAGAGGAAGAGGAUGAUGACCCAAUUUUUGUCUUAACAGAUGAAUGGAAAGAGUUUUUCGCAAAAUCUGAAGCCAAGAGGAAACUAGAGAGGAAGCUGACCAAAAAGGGAAAGAACUCAAAGUAGUGUCUCAAGAAGAGUGAAGUGAAAUCCUUUUUAAGGUUACGAUGGGUUAUGAGUUGAAUUGGCAUAUUUGGUGAUAUAUGUUUGACUCUGGUAUGGUGAUAUCAGUUUGACUGUGAUCCCAUGUUACUAUGUUAGGAUCAGUAUUUUUUGUAGACAUUUUCAUUGUGGUGUGGAAAUGAUAGAUUGAAAUGUACUCGAGUGCAUUGCAUUUUCCCAGCUAAAGGAUCGUAAUCAAUCAACAUGAGUGUUGUUCAACAUGGUAGUUUAACUAUUGAUAUACAUUUAUAGUUAGAACUUGUAGUAUUACUGAGAUUACAAGUAUUUUACUGCCAUGUAAUAGGUUUCAGUAGUUUUCUUAAUUAGCUAGCAUGAAACUUCGGGGAUCAUUCUGUGUUUUCUAGACAAUGCUAAUAUCUUCAUUGAUUUGUUCUUCA